RNAcentral lists this transfer RNA (93 nucleotides) under Actinomycetes bacterium. RNAcentral describes it as "Actinobacteria bacterium tRNA-Sec". It matches the Rfam family "Selenocysteine transfer RNA". Lineage: Bacteria; Bacillati; Actinomycetota; Actinomycetes. RNAcentral also lists the same sequence under 1 other name. The record is from RNAcentral.
GGAGCGGCAGGGGCCUGGUGGCCCAUCCGGUCUUCAAAACCGGCAGGGCGCUGUAGCCCGGCGCUUGGAAGGUUCGACUCCUUCGCCGCUCCG